RNAcentral lists this long non-coding RNA (458 nucleotides) under Homo sapiens (human). RNAcentral's name for it is "non-protein coding lnc-ANKRD20A2-12:7". Lineage: Eukaryota; Metazoa; Chordata; Mammalia; Primates; Hominidae. The record is from RNAcentral.
CCAGGCUGUCUAUGGAGCCAAAGAUAUCGAACUCUGUCCUGAGGCACAAGUCAAAAUAGAUCGUUACACUCAGCAGGGUUUUGGAAAUUUGCCCAUCUGCAUGGCAAAGACCGAUCUUUCUCUGUCUCACCAACCUGACAAAAAAGGUGUGCCAAGGGACUUCAUCUUACCUAUCAGUGAUGUCCGGGCCAGCAUAGGUGCUGGGUUCAUUUACCCUUUGGUCGGAACGGGAAGCAGAGAAUCUCCCCUCUGGCUCUAGUUGGAGAAUCCCAACCCAAGCAAGUCCAUCUUUGAACAAUAAACAUCUCCAGUACUGCUGGCUUUGGAAGACCCCAUGGAACCCCAAUUGUUUUCAAAUUCAAGAAUUCAGAGAAAUCUACUUGUUACAAAAGAGUAGAAUGGAUAAUGGGCACCACAUCCUGAAGUGUAUUUUAAUAAAAAUUCAUGUAAGAUGGUUC